This 67-nucleotide transfer RNA is filed under the name Nothochrysa sinica. RNAcentral describes it as "tRNA-Ser". Lineage: Eukaryota; Metazoa; Arthropoda; Insecta; Neuroptera; Chrysopidae. The record is from RNAcentral.
AAUUAAUGAGCUUGAAUAAGCAUAUGUUUUGAAAACAUAAGAUAGUAAUUAAUAUUACUAUUAAUUU